GAUGAAGAACGUAGCGAAAUGCGAUAAGUAAUGUGAAUUGCAGAAUUCAGUGUAUCAUCGAAUCUUUGAACGCACAUUGCGUCCAUUAGUAUUCUAGUGGGCAUGCCUGUUCGAGCGUCAUUAAUUCCACUUAAGCCCUGCUUAGUGUUGGGAAUCUACUCUAGUGGUGCUACCCUGGAGCUACCCCUGAAAGGGGGCUGGCCCGGUAGCUACCCUGUAGUUCCUCAAAGAUAGUGCGCGGAGUUGCGUGGUCCUCUGAGCUUAGUAACUAUACACCUAGCUUUUGAGUGUCCCGCGGCGCCUGCCGUUUAAACCCCAUCUUUUAAUGGUUGACCUCGGAUCAGGUAGGAAUACCCGCUGAACUUAAGCAUAUCAAUAAGCGGAGGA
RNAcentral lists this unclassified non-coding RNA (387 nucleotides) under soil metagenome. RNAcentral describes it as "partial contains 5.8S ribosomal RNA, internal transcribed spacer 2, and large subunit ribosomal RNA". The stretch from base 1 to 120 matches the Rfam family "5.8S ribosomal RNA", at positions 35 to 154 of the family's 154-position model. The record is from RNAcentral.